Molecule: long non-coding RNA, 343 nt
Organism: Nymphaea colorata (pocket water lily)
Lineage: Eukaryota; Viridiplantae; Streptophyta; Magnoliopsida; Nymphaeales; Nymphaeaceae
Exons: 2
Source: RefSeq, a predicted model, not a curated record
AACAACUUACUCACAGAUGCAACAAUGUACUCUACCUGGGGAAUUUGUCAGGCCAGAUCUUGAACAGCUAAAUAGAGCAGAGGUCAAGCUAGAAAUGGAUCUGGUCACCAGAUUAGGCCCAAUUGCAGCAUGCAUAUUCGAAGUAUCUGAUCUUGGAAUGCCCCUUCGAAGGAUCCGUCCAAAAAAAUCUUCCAGGUGAGAUUUGAGUCAGAUCUUGGUUUAACUGGGACCAUCUAAUGUUUUAGCCAGGUCCUGCUCUGGCAGUUUCCAUGUUCAGCUAGUUCAAAGACCCUUUUUUCACAUCCACUUGGACUCAUAUUUAAUUGAAGCGAAAUUUGUUUGA